This is a non-coding RNA of Caerostris extrusa, 73 nucleotides long. NCBI's taxonomy places the organism in Eukaryota, Metazoa, Arthropoda, Arachnida, Araneae, Araneidae. The record is from the annotation of a GenBank genome assembly.
GCCUGGUGGCCAAAGAGGCUAAGGCUCUGGUCUUUGGUAUCACAGGCUUCAGGUUCGAAUCCUGGCAGCAGCA